This 500-nucleotide ribosomal RNA is filed under the name uncultured Myrionecta. RNAcentral's name for it is "bacterial SSU rRNA". It matches the Rfam family "Eukaryotic small subunit ribosomal RNA", at positions 1208 to 1797 of the family's 1831-position model. The record is from RNAcentral. Lineage: Eukaryota; Ciliophora; Litostomatea; Cyclotrichida; Mesodiniidae.
GGAAAACUUACCAGGUCAAGACAUGGGCGUGAUUGACAGGCUAAUGACUUUUCUCGAUUCCAUGGAUGGUGGUGCAUGGUCGCACUUAGUUGGUGCAGUGAUUUGUCAGGUUUAUUCCGGUAACGAACGAGACCUCGGCCUUGUAAAUAGCUAUGCUGCUUACAGGGACAUUGGCGGCUACGCCAAGGAAGCUCGAGGCAAUUGCAGAUCUGGAAUGCCCUUAGAUGUCCUGGGUCGCACGCGUGCUACAAUGACGCCACGAACGAGCUUGCGUGAUGAAAGUUACGCAUAAUCAGCAGUCGGCGUCUUAAGGGAUAGUCUCUUGUAACUGUGGGACUCCAACUAGGAAUGUCUCGUAAGCACAAGUCAACAUCUUGUGUUGAUUACGUCCCUGCUCUUUGUACACACCGCCCGUCGCUCCUACCGAUCGAAUUUUAGGUAAUUUGAUGGACGUAAGAAGUCAAAUAACCUGAGCACUUAGGGAAGGAAAAUUGUGACGC